GAAAUAAUAAAUUUUAAGCUUCUAACUUAACUAAAAAUAAUUUAAAUUAUUUUUAUUUCU
Molecule: transfer RNA, 60 nt
Filed under: Paramblynotus sp. ZJUH 20220012
Lineage: Eukaryota; Metazoa; Arthropoda; Insecta; Hymenoptera; Liopteridae
Description: tRNA-Ser
Source: RNAcentral